This 221-nucleotide ribosomal RNA is filed under the name uncultured bacterium. RNAcentral's name for it is "partial 16S ribosomal RNA". It matches the Rfam family "Bacterial small subunit ribosomal RNA", at positions 1 to 248 of the family's 1533-position model. The record is from RNAcentral.
UAGUGAGUUUGAUCCUGGCUCAGGAUGAACGCUGGCGGUCUGCUUAACACAUGCAAGUCGAACGACAAGUUGGAAAUACUUGAGUGGCGGACGGGUGAGUAACGCGUGAGAAUCUGCCUUCUGGGUCGGGACAACCACUAGGAAACGGUGGCUAAUACCGGAUAUGCCUAGUGGGUAGAAAGAUUAAUUGCCAGAAGAAGAGCUCGCGUCUGAUUAGCUAG